RNAcentral lists this ribosomal RNA (492 nucleotides) under uncultured bacterium. Its description in RNAcentral is "partial 16S ribosomal RNA". It matches the Rfam family "Bacterial small subunit ribosomal RNA", at positions 29 to 507 of the family's 1533-position model. The record is from RNAcentral.
AGUGAACGCUGGCGGUAGGCCUAACACAUGCAAGUCGAACGGCAGCACAGUAAGAGCUUGCUCUUACGGGUGGCGAGUGGCGGACGGGUGAGGAAUACAUCGGAAUCUACUUUUUCGUGGGGGAUAACGUAGGGAAACUUACGCUAAUACCGCAUACGACCUACGGGUGAAAGCAGGGGAUCUUCGGACCUUGCGCGAUUGAAUGAGCCGAUGUCGGAUUGGCUAGUUGGCGGGGUAAAGGCCCACCAAGGCGACGAUCCGUAGCUGGUCUGAGAGGAUGCUCAGCCACACUGGGACUGAGACACGGUCCAGACGCCUACGGGAGGCAGCAGUGGGGAAUAUUGGACAAUGGGCUCAAGCCUGAUCCAGCCAUACCGCGUGGGUGAAGAAGGCCUUCGGGUUGUAAAGCCCUUUUGUUGGGAAAGAAAAGCAGCAGGUUAAGACCCCGCUGUUCUGACGGUACCCAAAGAAUAAGCACCGGCUAACUUCGUG